This 196-nucleotide ribosomal RNA is filed under the name Lysobacterales bacterium. RNAcentral describes it as "partial 23S ribosomal RNA". It matches the Rfam family "Bacterial large subunit ribosomal RNA", at positions 2735 to 2925 of the family's 2925-position model. Lineage: Bacteria; Pseudomonadati; Pseudomonadota; Gammaproteobacteria; Lysobacterales. The record is from RNAcentral.
GCAUUGCCCGGUAGCUAUGUUCGGACGGGAUAACCGCUGAAAGCAUCUAAGCGGGAAGCCUCUUCCAAGAUGAGAUCUCACUUUAUCUAUAAGAUAACUGAAGGGCCGUUGAAGACUACGACGUUGAUAGGUCAGGUGUGGAAGCGCAGUAAUGUGUGAAGCUAACUGAUACUAAUUGCCCGUGAGGCUUGAUCAU